Coniochaeta sp. 2T2.1 is the source of this 109-nucleotide non-coding RNA. NCBI's taxonomy places the organism in Eukaryota, Fungi, Ascomycota, Sordariomycetes, Coniochaetales, Coniochaetaceae. The record is from the annotation of a GenBank genome assembly.
GGUCCCAUAGCUCAGUUGGUUAGAGCGUCGUACUAAUACUCCUCGUCUGUCCGGGAUGAGCUGUAUCAAGUAAAUGCGAAGGUCGAGAGUUCAACCCUCUCUGGGACCA